Molecule: transfer RNA, 77 nt
Filed under: Suttonella indologenes
Lineage: Bacteria; Pseudomonadati; Pseudomonadota; Gammaproteobacteria; Cardiobacteriales; Cardiobacteriaceae
Also listed under: 3 other names
Description: tRNA-Arg(tct)
Rfam family: tRNA
About the family: Transfer RNA (tRNA) molecules are approximately 80 nucleotides in length. Their secondary structure includes four short double-helical elements and three loops (D, anti-codon, and T loops). Further hydrogen bonds mediate the characteristic L-shaped molecular structure. tRNAs have two regions of fundamental functional importance: the anti-codon, which is responsible for specific mRNA codon recognition, and the 3' end, to which the tRNAs corresponding amino acid is attached (by aminoacyl-tRNA synthetases). tRNAs cope with the degeneracy of the genetic code in two manners: having more than one tRNA (with a specific anti-codon) for a particular amino acid; and 'wobble' base-pairing, i.e. permitting non-standard base-pairing at the 3rd anti-codon position.
Source: RNAcentral
GUGCCCGUAGCUCAACUGGAUAGAGCAACGGCCUUCUAAGCCGUAGGUUGCAGGUUCGAGCCCUGCCGGGUGCGCCA